RNAcentral lists this unclassified non-coding RNA (326 nucleotides) under Nocardia seriolae. RNAcentral's name for it is "16S-23S ribosomal RNA intergenic spacer". The record is from RNAcentral. Lineage: Bacteria; Bacillati; Actinomycetota; Actinomycetes; Mycobacteriales; Nocardiaceae.
AAGGGGCACUUCUACGCAAACUCUUCGAACAGUCGAAUGAUGUUGCGUCAGAGACCGUUUCGGACUCAUCUGAAGGACCGCGGACGCUCAUGGGUGGAACACUGACAAUCUUCAUCGCACCUACGAAAAUCCCAUGUGGUUUUCGGCGGUGAAUAUACCGACACACUAUUGGGUCCUGAAAGAACAGACGUUCUUUCCAGGCAAAAAACGAUCCGCUCGGAUCUCUCGUGAAACCAGCCUCUUCGAGGUCAAGGUCCUUGAAUCCAAUCCGAUGCGGGUGUGUUGUUUGAGAACUGCACAGUGGACGCGAGCAUCUUUGUUAGUAA